UAUGUGAUCGUCUCUCGCAUAUCAAUAAGCGGAGGAAAAGAAACUAACAAGGAUUCCCCUAGUAACGGCGAGUGAAGCGGGAAGAGCUCAAAUUUGAAAUCUUAAAGGGUUUCCCUUUACGAAUUGUAGUUUAAAGAAGUGUUUUCUGUUGAGGUUUUGGUAAAAGUUCUUUGGAAUAGGACAUUAUAGAGGGUGAGAAUCCCGUAUUUGACCUUUACUUUCAACUUUGUGAUACACUUUCAAAGAGUCGGAUCGUUUGGGAAUGCAGUCCAAAAUGGGUGGUAAAUUUCAUCUAAAGCUAAAUAUUGACGAGAGACCGAUAGCGAACAAGUACCGUGAGGGAAAGAUGAAAAGAACUUUGAAAAGAGAGUUAAACAGUACGUGAAAUUGUCAAAAGGGAAGCGUUUGACACCAGUGUUGUUUUUCUGAAAAUCAAUUAAAGAACUGUUUAUGCUAAGUUGUUUAGACUUUAUCAGCUAACUGUUUAGUUUUGAGCUUUUCUUUAAUGCACUUUUCAGUUAACAAGUCAACAUCAAUUUCUUUUGCUGUAAAAAAGCUUGAGGAAGGUGGCUUGAGAUUCGUCUUAAGUGUUUAUAGCCUCUUGCCUAUGCAGUCGGAGAGAUUGAGGUCUGCAGCGUAGAUCCUUCGGGGCUAAAUGCAUUUGUGCUAAGUUAUAGCAUUUUAUAGGACAACUUGUUGACUAUGAUUUGUCUUGUAGCUUACUCGCUUAUGUUAUUUUACCUACGCUUAGGAUGUUGAUCUACAGAGCGAGAGU
This 775-nucleotide ribosomal RNA is filed under the name uncultured Neocallimastigales. RNAcentral describes it as "partial large subunit ribosomal RNA". It matches the Rfam family "Eukaryotic large subunit ribosomal RNA", at positions 24 to 631 of the family's 3401-position model. Lineage: Eukaryota; Fungi; Neocallimastigomycota; Neocallimastigomycetes; Neocallimastigales. The record is from RNAcentral.